This is a long non-coding RNA of Chlorocebus sabaeus (green monkey), 1670 nucleotides long. RefSeq lists it as uncharacterized. The record is from RefSeq and is a predicted model, not a curated record. Lineage: Eukaryota; Metazoa; Chordata; Mammalia; Primates; Cercopithecidae.
UGGGGCCGCAUCACUUGACAGGGAAGUCGGGGGCUGGCUUAUGCCCUCUCCUGUCUCCCUCACCUGCUCCUGCUCCCCACUUGAGAGAAACAAGGUUGGGGAAAUCCCCUGUUUCUCACAGCACUCGGAUCUCCAAACACUUAAAAUAUAUCUUAGGUGUCGAGGGUGGCCUUGGAGAGGGGCUGGUCACAGCUAGAAGCUUCCGAGAUACCAAGAACCAUGUGGAAGUUGUUGGAAGGGGCUUUGACCGGCAAGUCAUGGGCCAGCCCCGUUCAAGUCAGCCAUUGGGACCUCCUCGGCACAUGUCAGAGGAUGUUUUCCUUCUUGCCUUGAGAGCUGGCCAGGCCCCAGCAGCUUGGAGUGGAAGGACAAGGGGAACCAGACCCCAUUCUGUAGCCACCCCUUUUUCAUUGUCUUCACAGCAGAGCGACAUGGAGCCUUUGAGGUCUGCCGGCAGGGAGUGGGGGACUCAGCCCCAGACAAUGUCUGGGCCCCCCCUCACCCAGCUUGCUGAACCCCUGCGUGCCAAACCCCUGCCCUUUUGAAGGACAGCCAAGCAGAGUUGGGCGGGGCUGGUCAAGGGGAGGGCCAGUGCCCUCAGCUGCCCUGGCCAGCGGGGGUGGGAGCAGAGGGCCGGCUCAGCAGCUGAAGCCAUGGAGAUCAGAGGUCGCUGAGGCUAGGGACAGCCAUUGGAGGUGAGAGGUGCAGAGAGAGGCCACGAACCCCCACCCAAGCAGAGAAGGACAGAGCAGAGGGAGAAAUGGGUGCCCGACCGGGACAGGUGUCCUUGGGGAGGGCUGACACCUGGACGUGGAUGGGGAGGGAUGGCUUCCCCUUCCUCCUGGACUCACGGGCUCUGGGGCUGGGGCUCUGGGGGCCCAGUGGCGGCGGAGGCGGCAGCGGCGGCUACAGCAGGCAGCCCGACUCCAGCUGUUCACUUACUGGCUGCUGCGAGACCUCUGCCCGAUGACUUCCAGUCCUGCAGCCACCUCAACCUCUGCAUCUGCAGAACCCGAGCGCGGAUUCCUGCUUCGCCCAGCUUGUUUGUUUUCAGCUAGGUGCCUUCCCUUGGCUUUCCUCCCCUCUCUCCCCUAACCAGAUGUGGAGCAAGGCAGGGGAGGGCCUAGGUUCUGACAACAGCCAGCCCUGGCCUCAAACCUAGGUGCUUCCUCUUCCUACCACUAUGACUACCCUUAUGACGUGGGGACAAGGGACUCCACCCCUGCGAGGCUCAGUUUCUUCAUCUGAGAGAUGGGGGUGACAGACCUGCUUGCAGGGAAGGUUGGGAUCAGGCCUCCAGGAGGGUCCAUUUGGAAAGAGCAAACUGCAGGGGGCUCAGCAAAUGUGCCUCCACUGUUAUGAUCACCCGGUACUCCCUCCCUCCUCCAAUUCCCCUUCGGUGCACUUGGAGAGAUGGUCUCCCCUCACCUCCCGAGUCCCAGUGGAGACAGAAUCCAAGGGGUGGGCAGGAGAAUUUUAAGACAUAGGCCGAGCCCUCCUGCUUUCCAAGGCUGCACUCCACCCUCCAUCAUUGCGUACAUAUGAGAACAAAGCCACAUCCCACAUUAAAGAAACAAUGUAAGCUUGAUUACAAGAAAGUAAACUGCAGUUGAGUAGUGGAAAGAAUGUUAUGCUUUAUGGACAUUGGAUUAAAUGGUCAUAAAUGUUGA